CCUACGGGAGGCAGCAGUGGGGAAUUUUGCACAAUGCCCGAAAGGGUGAUGCAGCAACGCCGCGUGAGGGAUGAAGGCCUUCGGGUCGUAAACCUCUUUCGAUCGGGAAAAACGGGCUGGUGAAUAGCCAGCUCUGAUGGUACCGGAUGAAGAAGCCCCGGCUAACUUCGUGCCAGCAGCCGCGGUAAUACGAAGGGGGCGAGCGUUGUUCGGAAUCACUGGGCGUAAAGGGCGCGUAGGCGGCCCUGUUUGUCGCGUGUGAAAGCCCCGGGCUCAACCUGGGAAUGGCGCGCGAGACGGCGGGGCUGGAGUUCGGGAGAGGAGCGUGGAAUUCCCAGUGUAGAGGUGAAAUUCGUAGAUAUUGGGAAGAACACCGGUGGCGAAGGCGGCGCUCUGGACCGAGACUGACGCUGAGGCGCGAAAGCGUGGGGAGCAAACAGGAUUAGAUACCCUGGUAGUCCACGCGGUAAACGAUGUGUGCUAGACGUUGGGGAGCCUAGCUUCUCGGUGUCGCAGCCAACGCGGUAAGCACACCGCCUGGGGAGUACGGCCGCAAGGUUAAAACUCAAAGGAAUUGACGG
RNAcentral lists this ribosomal RNA (581 nucleotides) under uncultured bacterium. RNAcentral's name for it is "bacterial SSU rRNA". It matches the Rfam family "Bacterial small subunit ribosomal RNA", at positions 338 to 916 of the family's 1533-position model. The record is from RNAcentral.